GUGCCAGCCGCCGCGGUAAUACAGAGGUCUCAAGCGUUGUUCGGAAUCACUGGGCGUAAAGGGUGCGUAGGUGGCGUGGAAAGUCAGAUGUGAAAUCCGGGGGCUCAACCUCCGAAUAGCAUCCGAUACUCCCAUGCUAGAGAACUGGAGGGGGAUCUGGAAUUCUCGGUGUAGCAGUGAAAUGCGUAGAUAUCGAGAGGAACACUAGUGGCGAAGGCGAGAUCCUGGACAGUAUCUGACACUGAUGCACGAAGGUCAGGGGAGCAAACGGGAUUAGAAACCCUUGUAGUCC
RNAcentral lists this ribosomal RNA (292 nucleotides) under uncultured bacterium. RNAcentral describes it as "partial 16S ribosomal RNA". It matches the Rfam family "Bacterial small subunit ribosomal RNA", at positions 505 to 796 of the family's 1533-position model. The record is from RNAcentral.